Long non-coding RNA from Cervus elaphus (red deer), 164 nucleotides. RefSeq lists it as uncharacterized. The transcript is spliced from 3 exons. NCBI's taxonomy places the organism in Eukaryota, Metazoa, Chordata, Mammalia, Artiodactyla, Cervidae. The record is from RefSeq and is a predicted model, not a curated record.
UUAUAGUUUCUGGUCUUACAUUUAGGUCUUUAAUGCAUUUUGAGCAUAUCUUUGUGGAUGGUGUUAGGAAGUGUUCUAAUUUCAUUCUUUUACAAGUAGCUGUCCCGUUUUCCCAGUACUAUUUACUGAAGAGGCCGUCUUUGCCCCAUUGUAUAUUCUUGCCU